AACGAACGCUGGCGGCAUGCCUAACACAUGCAAGUCGAACGAUGCCUUCGGGCAUAGUGGCGCACGGGUGCGUAACGCGUGGGAAUCUGCCCUUGGGUUCGGAAUAACUCAGAGAAAUUUGAGCUAAUACCGGAUGAUGACGUAAGUCCAAAGAUUUAUCGCCCAAGGAUGAGCCCGCGUAAGAUUAGCUAGUUGGUGGGGUAAAGGCCUACCAAGGCGACGAUCUUUAGCUGGUCUGAGAGGAUGAUCAGCCACACUGGGACUGAGACACGGCCCAGACUCCUACGGGAGGCAGCAGUGGGGAAUAUUGGACAAUGGGCGAAAGCCUGAUCCAGCAAUGCCGCGUGAGUGAUGAAGGCCUUAGGGUUGUAAAGCUCUUUUACCAGGGAUGAUAAUGACAGUA
RNAcentral lists this ribosomal RNA (403 nucleotides) under uncultured bacterium. RNAcentral describes it as "bacterial SSU rRNA". It matches the Rfam family "Bacterial small subunit ribosomal RNA", at positions 29 to 459 of the family's 1533-position model. The record is from RNAcentral.